RNAcentral lists this long non-coding RNA (561 nucleotides) under Sus scrofa (pig). RNAcentral's name for it is "lncRNA (ENSSSCG00040008976.1)". Lineage: Eukaryota; Metazoa; Chordata; Mammalia; Artiodactyla; Suidae. The record is from RNAcentral.
CCUGUUCCUAGAUGUUGUAGUUCUUUGACUCAAGGAUUUACUGGAUGGACAGUGACCUCAAAGGAGGGAAAGGAGCAUUUGGAACAGCCAGAAGAGAAGGCCCUAGAUUAAGCCUGGGCCAGUGACAGAGCCUCACCGUCUGGGGAUGGACGUUUCCCCAGGAAGUUAUUGUCCAGACACUGGAAGACAUCAUCGAAUGAAAAGGUGGAAGCAGGCAGAUCCUGAUGUGUAGAGAGCCACAGAAAGAGCCAGAGCCAUCAGCCUGGGAAGAGAAAGGAAGCCAUGCCAGCUGCUCGUAGGAAAUGUGCCACUGAAAUGAAAGUUACAGCUCACCUUCCCAGUGAUAUUAGUGACAGCUGGGCAGCACAACUUCUCUGCAGCCUUCCGUCACCACAGCUCAUCUUGAAGCUCUGACUGCAUGUUGCCAGUGUUUAAAAUCAGAGUUUGGGGUGAGUGAAUGUGGCAGGGGAAACCCUCCCUUGAGUUUUGAUUAUACCUAGGAUUAUUGGAUAUUAAGUUCGGAGAAAUAAAGACAUUCAAGAACAUAAAUGGGAGUUCCCG